GACGAACGCUGGCGGCAUGCCUAAUACAUGCAAGUCGAGCGAACAGAUGAAGUGCUUGCACUUCUGACAUUAGCGGCGGACGGGUGAGUAACACGUGGGUAACCUACCUAUAAGACUGGGAUAACUUCGGGAAACCGGAGCUAAUACCGGAUAACAUUUGGAACCGCAUGGUUCUAAAGUGAAAGAUGGUUUUGCUAUCACUUAUAGAUGGACCCGCGCCGGAUUAGCUAGUUGGUAAGGUAACGGCUUACCAAGGCGACGAUACGUAGCCGACCUGAGAGGGUGAUCGGCCACACUGGAACUGAGACACGGUCCAGACUCCUACGGGAGGCAGCAGUAGGGAAUCUUCCGCAAUGGGCGAAAGCCUGACGGAGCAACGCCGCGUGAGUGAUGAAGGGUUUCGGCUCGUAAAACUCUGUUAUUAGGGAAGAACAAAUGUGUAAGUAACUGUGCACGUCUUGACGGUACCUAAUCAGAAAGCCACGGCUAACUACGUGCCAGCCGCCGCAGUAA
This 513-nucleotide ribosomal RNA is filed under the name uncultured bacterium. RNAcentral's name for it is "partial 16S ribosomal RNA". It matches the Rfam family "Bacterial small subunit ribosomal RNA", at positions 28 to 523 of the family's 1533-position model. The record is from RNAcentral.